RNAcentral lists this transfer RNA (77 nucleotides) under candidate division WWE3 bacterium CG08_land_8_20_14_0_20_40_13. RNAcentral describes it as "tRNA-Val". It matches the Rfam family "tRNA". From Rfam's summary of the family: Transfer RNA (tRNA) molecules are approximately 80 nucleotides in length. Their secondary structure includes four short double-helical elements and three loops (D, anti-codon, and T loops). Further hydrogen bonds mediate the characteristic L-shaped molecular structure. tRNAs have two regions of fundamental functional importance: the anti-codon, which is responsible for specific mRNA codon recognition, and the 3' end, to which the tRNAs corresponding amino acid is attached (by aminoacyl-tRNA synthetases). tRNAs cope with the degeneracy of the genetic code in two manners: having more than one tRNA (with a specific anti-codon) for a particular amino acid; and 'wobble' base-pairing, i.e. permitting non-standard base-pairing at the 3rd anti-codon position. Lineage: Bacteria; candidate division WWE3. The record is from RNAcentral.
GGGCGGUUAGCUCAGUUGGUUAGAGUGUUUGGUUUACAUCCAAAAGGUCGCAGGUUCGAGCCCUGCACCGCCCACCA